AACCCCAAGGUUUAAGGAACCUGCUGGAAAAUGUUACUGACUUUCCUCCAUUAGCAUGGUUGGAAGCAGGGGUUGAAGCUGGUAUCUAUAGGCUGGGAUUCCUUGGUAUGUGCCUGAUGUAGCUCCUUAGAAGUUGGAAGAAGUGGAUAGCUUAGCAGGCCCACUCUUUGAAGAAUUGGUUGUUGUUGGGGCACAGAGCCUUCACUGGUUUGUAAAAGCUUUUGGAAUUGCUUCCUGGAGCUUUGUGUAGUACAUGGGUACACAAGUGAUGUCAUCAUUGUUAUGUGACAGAGUCAGGGCUGCCUCCAUUGGUCACCUUUGGAAGAUUCUAGCCCUCUAUGGACUGCCUGUUGUUAAUCAAAAUGGGUCUGGACACUGUGGGUUCAUUAUGUCUCUCACCUUCCUUGUCCACAUUGAUGGAGAAGCUAAAACAGAUAAGGAGCCAGCCCAGAUAUGUCUGUGGAAAACCAUAUCAACUCUAUCUACUCCUGAGAAAGCAUCCACUCAGCUAAGACAGGUGUGCCCAUGCUAAGGCCAGUACACUGCCUCCUGGGUAAAGUUAAAACUGAGUGUGCUCCAGGGCUUAUGAAUGAGGGGUGCUCUGGCAUGUGGGGAAAGCAUUUCCCAAAUGAUGGUCCUGCUUUUUCCAUCUCAUAUUUCAAGGAAAGUCCAUGUGCUUGAUUGCUUUCCUGUCUAAAUCCUAGAGAAUUCCUAGCCCUUCUAAAGACAACAGAACAGUGGGGGGCCUAGAGAUCCCUAAGGGAUUCACAGAAUGGGCAUGAGCUCUGGAGUCCACUUAGACUGGAGCCCAGCUUUGCCAUGUAAGUCUAAAUCACACUUAGACUUGUAGCUUUCUGACUUGGUAGUAGGCCUGUUAAAAGGCAAACUUGCUAAUACUUCUGGUACCCUCCUUUACUCUCUGGACAAGAGGAAACAGUGGAGUAUGAGGAGCCAAAGCAUGGUGGCCACCUGCUCUGGCCAGAGGGGCCCCGUGUGCGCUACCUACAGGAGAGCCCUCACCUCAGUGUCAUAAGCAAGUGCUGGUGAGUCAAAGCCAAGACUGUAGCCCAGAGGAGACUUGGUGACUGUCAGGGCCAGGCAGACAGCCCACAUUGCCUGUGCCUGUUCACAUCCUACAUGUAUACCUGUUGCUGUGACCCCUCACCUGCACUCAGCUGUUCUCAAAGCUACUUUGGUGUUGUAGUAGCACUGUUAGACUCUUGCUGUCUGGGCUGAGGUUCUUGUUCAUGGUCCCUGCCUCCUUUACUGCCUUUUCUGUGUAACACUACUGGUUAACUGGACAGGAAGCCAGAAUGGUCUAUUUUACCAAUCUAGGCCUUGCCCCAACUGUAGACAGCUCCCAUGUUGACCGGUCACUUUUUCUCACACCCACUUUUUAUCAUCCCCUUCUGCCUCCCAGGACAGUCGUCAUAGUUUCCUUCAAUCUUACAGAUUUUUUUUUUAACCUUCUUUGAGUGACUCGGACUUUCUCACAGGGUCCAUGAUGGCCAUAAAGGUCCUUUCUCGGGGAGAUGAGGAGUGUUGGGGGAUCCACCUUUUUGCCUCAAAGCCCUAUACCCUGAGGCCAGCCCAAGGCUAGCAUGGACCUAAAUGGGGAAUUGGGUAGACAGUGUGUGAGGCAACUGCUGUGAACAGUGUCUUCUGAGAGCACCUACCCAGAGCCAGGCCCAGCGAGCCAGGCAACACAGUUCUGAAUCAGUCUGCUGCCAGAGGUUUUGAAAGACUACACUAUUCUGAUUUAGAGCAUUCUAAUUAUGUAUUUCCAUUAACAUUAAAAUUAAUUUAGUCUCUUUUAUCUUAAAGUGCCUGAGGGAUCCUGUCAUUAGCUGCCCUGCCUCUUAGGUAACAGUAGCCAAUCAGGUCUUCAGUGCCACAGGCAAAUCUAUGUGGAAAGCAGCCCUUUAGGAAAGUUAUCCAUGACUGUGACAAUCACUGUUGCUGUGAGGUGCUGGGUCUCAUGUGUUCACACUCUCUAACCCCUGCCUCUCCUACAGCAGGACCCCCGUGAGAGGAAUGGCAGAGGCUUUGCUGUGAGUGGGGAGGAAAGCUCUGUGGAGUGGUGAUUCUUACCAGACCAUGAUUCCAUUUUUCUCACAGGGAAGACAGUGACUUGGGUUUUUUUUUUCUCUGCUACCAUGUAAUCAGCAACAGAACUCUAAGUGUACAUGUCUACUUCAGCCUUAAUUAGGAAAUCACCUGUUCGGCCUUGGCAUGGCCUUAAUAUUUGCUCUUAUGUUCCUUAGGAGUGAGGGGUGGGGUUCUGGCACAGUGCUAUCUACUGAAGAGGAUGGUGCCACCACUGAGCCCAGCUUGAUGCCAGGCUGCCUGAAGAGCAGAUGAACUUGGCUGAGAGACACCCAACAGCCUGGUUGAAUAGCUAAGUAGCAACACAGGAACUAACCUCUGCUGCCCAGUUAGCUGCUCCCCCAGGCACUGCCACCUGCUCAUUAUAAAGCUGUGAGCUCUGUCCCAGGCUGUCUUAUACAGCAUAGAAGCCUGGCUGCUCUCGGCAGGACAUAGAUUCCUGUCCUGCCCCAGACCUGACAUGAGUGCUGCAGUCCCAGCUUGAAACCUGGAGGAGGAAACUUUGAGCCCCAAGACUUUUCCUUUGGCUGAUGUAGGAAUGCAGGAGGCCUUGCUGGGCUGACAUGCACAUGUGUAAAAAGUCAAAGAUGAAGCUAGUGAGAGCCCUUUCCAAGGUACUUGGGCAGAGGCUGUGGGACCAUCCUUGAGAUACAUCACAGAUACGAUGCAACAAUCAAUGAAUCAAUGAUUGGUGUCAAGAGGAUAAGUCCAAUGACAUAGGCUUCCUCAAAGUUUAGGACUUGGCUCAGAUAUUCCCUUCAUGUCACUCAUCACCUGAUGAAUGGCUUUCCUUUUUCUAAUCUGUAACCAGGAACUUCAGACAGGUAACCGUACUUUCAAGCAUUCUGUGACACCAUGAUUAUUGAGAUGCUUUCAAAAUACAAGUAACAGGAAGCACAUCAGAUAGCCUUCAGGAAAAUUGGCUAAAAUGGACUUGGGCCAGACCUGAUUUCAGUCACAGCUUUGGCCUUCCCAGCUGUGCAACUUGGGGAGGGGGGGAUCACUUUCCUCCCUCUGAGCUCAGUUUUGAGCCCAGUUUUAAGUAAGAAUAGUGAUCCUGAACCCUGUAAAUAAGGGUGAAAUGGUGUAAUGAAGUAAGGUGUCUAUCAGUCCUGACAUGAUAGAUAUUUGUUCUUCCUACAAAUGUUCAGGAACUGCAUCUGUUUUAUUAGGAACUAUUCUUAUCAAUCAUUUAUCUGCCAGCCAUGUCAGGGCACUGGGCAACUGAUAAAAGCCUGGUGCCUCACCCAGACCUA
Non-coding RNA from Myodes glareolus (Bank vole), 3362 nucleotides. Lineage: Eukaryota; Metazoa; Chordata; Mammalia; Rodentia; Cricetidae. The record is from RefSeq and is a predicted model, not a curated record.